AAGUCGUAACAAGGUUUCCGUAGGUGAACCUGCGGAAGGAUCAUUACCGGGUUUAAGGGGGGGGAAACCCCCCAACCAUCCCAACCCCUUGACCUUUACCUAUCCACGUUGCUUUCGGGGGGGCCCGUCAAGGCCCCCCGGAGGUCAAUCAAACUAUAUUUCUACAGUCGUCAGAGCGAAUGCGAAAAUAAGUAAAAA
Molecule: unclassified non-coding RNA, 198 nt
Filed under: plant metagenome
Description: partial contains small subunit ribosomal RNA and internal transcribed spacer 1
Rfam family: Eukaryotic small subunit ribosomal RNA (bases 1-46)
Source: RNAcentral